CGCAGUCCCUCUGCGGAAGGCGCCGCUCUUGGCUUCGGCGGCGCCGCUGUAGCUUGGAGGCGGUACUUCCUCCAGCAUUUGCCGCGAGUUAUUGGCAAGUUCCCCUGCAGUUGUUUGGGCUGUCGCUGUGGCUGGUUCUGCGGUGUGCGGCCAGCCAUGGAGCGCUCUGGGCCCAGCGAAGUGACAGGCUCAGACGCAUCGGGACCGGACCCGCAGCUUGUGGUCACCAUGGGCUUCACGGGGUUCGGGGUUCGGUAAAAAAGCUCACACAUUUGACUUGGAAGCAAUGUUUGAACAAACUCAAAGAACAGCUGUGGAAAGAAGUCACAAAACACUGGACCAGAUUACAGAGGGGUAUUGAUUUGCCUUGCCCCCGCCCCCACCAUCACAGUGUGUCCCUGUCCAGUGUUGGUGCUGUGUGGCAUUGCUUGUGUCCAUAGGAGUCCAUCAAGGCAGAGCGGCAGAGCGGCAAGCAGAGCGGCAAGGCAGUUCAACCCAAUGGAAAUGGAUUGAAAGAGUGAAAGUCACUGGUCUCAAAGAAUCUACGGAAUUUAGCAUUUUGAAAAUCACAGAGCAAUUUUGGGUAGGUAUUCACAUGCACUAAAAAACCAGGCAAACAUCUGACUCCCAGGAUAAAGUGACUGAGAGCAGUAGAAGACUUGUUGAGCCUUAAGGAAUAAGAGGAAAAUUAUGUUAUGAAGUGCAGGAACAGCACAGACCCAGACGAGGGGAUGCAGCCCGGAGCCAGUAACCCGGCGCCUCCUCCUCCCCAGGGCGCAGCGCUGGCUGCUCCCCGGAUACCGUGAUCACACGUCCCAGGUCCUGAGAGCGCCUCAUAGGUAGACAGUUCUUUGGGACUUUUGGGACGCAGCACUUGAAGAGAGGUUUACCUAAACUUUCCUCCUGGGAGCCUGUCAUCAUUUGAAAGUAACAGAAGAAAGCUGUCAGGCUGAGGAAAGUUUCAACAGGCACUUGGUGAGAAUGGGAAGCAUCCAUUCAUUGGGAAAUCACGGGGACAGAGGAGGAAUUCACGGGAUCAGAGCACUGAGAAACUCCAGAGGCUUCUGGUUCACCGCCCUGAUUCCACAGAUGUGGGUCAGAGGCAGAGAUGGAAGUUGGAAUGGACAAGCCUGCCCUCUCCUCAGCUCUCCAUGGCUCUGUCCUCAGGCUGUUUCUGCAAUUUGACAUGAGGCCUGGCCCCAGGGAAACCAGUGGGGCCUCAUCUCCUCCCUGUGCUGCUCUGAGGUGGAGCCUUCUCAGGGUCAGUCCAGCUCUGGAGCCCCUCUCCAGCUCGGUCACCAAAGCUGUCUGGUCCCAGGGCAGUGUGGAGUGACAGGCACGCCAGCCAAUCCAAUCGGCCAUUUCAUACCCAAUGCAUGUGACUGAUAAAGAGAUAACACCCUGUCUCCAAGACACAGGCUUUACAUAAACAGCUUUAAUGACUUCUUCACUUAGGGACAAGACUCCUUAGUGGUGGAACCUCAGGCAUCCAUGCAGGAUGUAAGAAAGCUCCCGUAUAUACAUGAACUGAGAAGUGUGUAGAAGAGUAAAUACUGUAAUAGGUAAUAAAAUGUAUGUAUUUUUAUUUAUGUG
This is a long non-coding RNA of Homo sapiens (human), 1593 nucleotides long. Ensembl annotates it as long intergenic non-protein coding RNA 680. Lineage: Eukaryota; Metazoa; Chordata; Mammalia; Primates; Hominidae. The record is from Ensembl.